RNAcentral lists this ribosomal RNA (1953 nucleotides) under human gut metagenome. Its description in RNAcentral is "bacterial LSU rRNA". It matches the Rfam family "Bacterial large subunit ribosomal RNA", at positions 3 to 1989 of the family's 2925-position model. The record is from RNAcentral.
UCAAGCUAAUAAGAGCGCAGGGUGGAUGCCUUGGCACUAAGAGCCGAUGAAAGACGUGAUAAGCUGCGAAAAGCUUCGGGGAGGAGCAAAUAUCCUUUGAUCCGGAGAUAUCUGAAUGGGGAAACCCGGCUGAGAAGACCUCAGUCACUGUAUGGUAAAUCCAUAGCCAUACAGAGGGAACCCGGUGAACUGAAACAUCUAAGUAGCCGGAGGAAGAGAAAGAAACAUCGAUUCCGGAAGUAGCGGCGAGCGAACCCGGAAGAGCCCAAACCAGCGUGCGUGCAUGCUGGGGUUAAGGACUGCAUAAGUGAGCCGAUCUGUUAAUGGAACUGCCUGGGAAGGCAGGCCAGAGAGGGUGAAAGCCCCGUACAUGAAAACGGUAGGCAGCGGCAGGAUCCAGAGUACCGCGAGACACGAGAAACCUUGCGGGAAGUCGGAGGGACCACCCUCCAAGGCUAAAUACUCCUUAGUGACCGAUAGCGCAUAGUACUGUGAAGGAAAGGUGAAAAGGACCCCGGGAGGGGAGUGAAAGAGAACCUGAAACCCUGUGUUUACAAGCUGUCGGAGCACUAUAUAUGUGCGACGGCGUACUUUUUGUAGAACGGUCCGGCGAGUUAUGGCAUGUGGUAAGGUUAAGUACUUCAGGUACGGAGCCGAAGCGAAAGCGAGUGUGAAAAGCACGUUCUAAUCGCCUGUCAUAUACCCGAAACCGGGUGAUCUAUCCAUGUCCAGGAUGAAGUUGCCGUAAAAGGCAAUGGAGGUCCGAACACACAUCCGUUGAAAAGGGUGGUGAUGAGGUGUGGAUAGGGGAGAAAUUCCAAUCGAACCCGGAGAUAGCUGGUUCUCCUCGAAAUAGCUUUAGGGCUAGCCUCGUUUUAGUCUUAUGGAGGUAGAGCACUGAAUUUCCGCGGGGGCGUCAAAGCUUACCAAAGAAUAUCAAACUCCGAAUGCCAUGUAGAUGAUGAACGGGAGUCAGACUGCACGAGAUAAGUUGGGCGGUCAAAAGGGAAAGAGCCCAGACCACCGGCUAAGGUCCCAAAGUGUGUGUUAAGUGGAAAAGGAUGUGGGAAUUCGAAGACAACUAGGAUGUUGGCUCAGAAGCAGCCAUACAUUCAAAGAGUGCGUAACAGCUCACUAGUCGAGAGUCCCUGCGCCGAAAAUGUCCGGGGCUGAAACACAACACCGAAGCCGUGGACUCCGUAAGGAGUGGUAGAGGAGCAUUCUUAAAACCGACGAAGCUGUACCGGUAAGGAGCAGUGGAGGGAUAAGAAGAGAGAAUGCCGGAAUGAGUAGCGAGAGGAAGGUGGGAAUCCUUCCGGCCGAAUAUCUAAGGUUUCCAGAGUAAAGCUGAUCUGCUCUGGGUAAGUCGGGGCCUAAGGAGAGGUCGCAAGACGUAUCCGAUGGACAACAGGUUUAGAUUCCUGUACCGCAUAUAAACAGAACUGUGGGGACGCAUGUGGAAAGCAUAAGCCGGGAAUGGAAAGACCGGUACAAGCGGGGUAGGUGUGUGACAGGCAAAUCCGUCAUAUAAGCCGAAGACGUGAUGUGGAACGAAAUUUAGUAGUGAAGUAUGUGAGCCAUGUGCCGAGAAAAGCCGCUAUUGUUUUAUAUGUGCCCGUACCGUAAACCGACACAGGUGGAUGAGGAGAGAAUCCUAAGGCCGACGGAAGAAGCAUUGUUAAGGAAUUCGGCAAAAUGACCCCGUAACUUCGGGAGAAGGGGUGCCCACUGAAUGGUGGGCCGCAGAGAAUAGGCUCAAGCAACUGUUUAGCAAAAACACAGGUCUAUGCGAAACCGAAAGGUGAAGUAUAUGGGCUGACGCCUGCCCGGUGCUGGAAGGUUAAGAGGAGAGGUUAGCGCAAGCGAAGCUUUGAAUUUAAGCCCCAGUAAACGGCGGCCGUAACUAUAACGGUCCUAAGGUAGCGAAAUUCCUUGUCGGGUAAGUUCCGACCC